This is a long non-coding RNA of Haliotis rubra (blacklip abalone), 1248 nucleotides long. RefSeq lists it as uncharacterized. NCBI's taxonomy places the organism in Eukaryota, Metazoa, Mollusca, Gastropoda, Lepetellida, Haliotidae. The transcript has 2 exons. The record is from RefSeq and is a predicted model, not a curated record.
UGGACUAUUGUGAAUUCUUGCACGAUAAUAUUCAACAUAGACGGUACUCAUGUGACAAUUUUAUUUCAAACUAUGGUAUGCGCAAAUUUGAAUAUCACAGUUUUUAACGGCAGAAAUGGAAAUGAUCAAUUGAUUGACGAUUCCACGAAUAUCUCAUCAAACGGAACAAGUGUGAUAGACUAUGUUAUCGGAUAGAGUGACUUCUUUACAUUGUGCAGUGGAUUCGAUAUCGGAUGUAGGUCAGAGUCUCUACAUCUGCCAAUCACUUGUGCAUUUCAGUCGCGUGGUGAUAUUGACAACCACAAGGAAGCACGUGAUUCACACUCUGGACAGAACUUUAGGUUUAAGUUGACUGAUGAUUGUGUAAACAAAUUCCAUGUUAAUUUGCUUUCACCCGAUGUAAGAAAGACCCUAUAUGAUUGUGCUUGCCAAGCUAUCUAUGAUGUAAAUCAAUCAGUUAAAUCGUUUACUAAUGCCUUACUGAUGAAAGGAAAAGGACAGUUCUGGAACAGGUGCCGAAGGAGCCCGUCUUUUAAUUGGUCAAUGAGAGUCACUUGACCACAAUAGGCGUCUUAUAUUGCAUGUUGUGGUGCAAUACCGAAUCUAUAUUUAGCCAGGGAAAGACCCGAGCUAUAAAUAGGUCAGCGUCUCGCUGUGUGACUCGCCCUUGUGAUAUAAGCCAAUACAUAGUUUACGUUUUGUAACCAGAACUGGCUAGCCGUGACCGGAUAUAGCCGCAUGUUUUUUUUGUCUUUAUAUAAGAGGUUAUUCCCCCCCCCAUACUCAUAUGUCAUUUCACUCUUGUGAGCGAAUCUAGACUGACGGUCCUGUCGUGUCUACACUCAAUCUUACGACGCUGUUCACAAGACAGGGAACUUUCUUAAAAAAUGGAGGAGAGGCAACGUUUUCUAGACUCUGUACAGUCCCUGCAUGAACUUGAGACAUGGGCAACGGCCAAUAGCUGUUCAAAUGACCCGGCUGUGAACUUAAAACGUAUCAAUCUAUUAGCAAACAGGUUAUCCAACAACUGCAAGAAUACAUCCUCAUCACUGACUCAUACAUGUGACAACUGUAACAAAUCUUUUACAAGCAAAAGGAAUCUUCUUCGACAUACACGAACCGUACAUGGAAAUGAGAAAAUAUCAUGUGCGCAGUGUGGACACUCGUUUUCUCGCGGCAUACUGUAAAACAUGGAGUAGAGUCUUGGAGUGGAGUCUUGGAAUGGAGUUUAAAUGUAAAUAUUUUGAA